RNAcentral lists this ribosomal RNA (449 nucleotides) under uncultured bacterium. RNAcentral's name for it is "partial 16S ribosomal RNA". It matches the Rfam family "Bacterial small subunit ribosomal RNA", at positions 29 to 507 of the family's 1533-position model. The record is from RNAcentral.
AAUGAACGCUAGCGGUAUGCCUAACACAUGCAAGUUGAACGCAUACUUUUACAGUAUAAGUAGCAGACGGGUGAGUAACGCGUGAGAAAUCUACCUUACAAUCUAGGAUAAAAUCCCGGAUUCUUUCUAAACUAGAUGUUCCGACAAAUAGUAUAGAAUAAAAGAUUAAAUGUCGUUGUAAGAUGUGCUCGCGUAGGAUUAGGUAGUUGGUGAGGUAAAAGCUACACCAAGCCGAAGAUCCUUAGCUGGUCUGAGAGGAUGAUCAGCCACACUGGGACUGAGACACGGCCAAGACGCUUUCGAGCGGCAGCAGUGAGGAAUUUUGGACAAUGGGCGAAAGCCUGAACCAGCAAUAUCGCAUGAGUGAAGAAGGCUGAAUUGGUUGUAAAGCUCUGAUUUGAUUGAAGAUUAUGACAUAAGAUAAAAGAAUAGUCCCGGCUAACUUCGUG